Molecule: ribosomal RNA, 881 nt
Filed under: uncultured bacterium
Lineage: Bacteria
Description: bacterial SSU rRNA
Rfam family: Bacterial small subunit ribosomal RNA
Source: RNAcentral
CAGGCCUAACACAUGCAAGUCGAGGGGCAGCAGGACUGUAGCAAAUACAGUUGCUGGCGACCGGCAAACGGGUGCGGAACACGUACGCAAACUUACCCAAAACUGGUGAAUAGCCCUCCGAAAGGGAGGAUUAAUACACCGUAACUUAAUGAGGUGGCAUCACUUUAUUAAUAUAGCUCCGGCGGUUUUGGAUGGGCGUGCGCCUGAUUAGGUAGUUGGUGUGGGUAACGGCCCACCAAGCCUACGAUCAGUAACUGGUGUGAGAGCACGACCAGUCACACGGGCACUGAGACACGGGCCCGACUCCUACGGGAGGCAGCAGUAAGGAAUAUUGGUCAAUGGACGCAAGUCUGAACCAGCCAUGCCGCGUGAAGGAUGAAGGUCCUCUGGAUUGUAAACUUCUUUUAUAGGGGACGAACCUCUUUUUCUAAAGAGACUGACGGUACCCUAGGAAUAAGCACCGGCUAACUCCGUGCCAGCAGCCGCGGUAAUACGGAGGGUGCAAGCGUUAUCCGGAUUCACUGGGUUUAAAGGGUGCGUAGGAGGGCAGGUAAGUCAGUGGUGAAAUCUUGGGGCUUAACCCCGAAACUGCCGUUGAUACUAUCUGUCUUGAAUCCCGUGGAGAUGAGCGGAAUAUGUCAUGUAGCGGUGAAAUGCUUAGAUAUGACAUAGAACACCAAUUGCGAAGGCAGCUCGUUACACGAAGAUUGACUCUGAGGCACGAAAGCGUGGGGAUCAAACAGGAUUAGAUACCCUGGUAGUCCACGCCCUAAACGAUGGAUACUCGACAUACGCGAUACACAGUGUGUGUCUGAGCGAAAGCAUUAAGUAUCCCACCUGGGAAGUACGACCGCAAGGUUGAAACUCAAAGGAAUUGACGG